Molecule: long non-coding RNA, 2475 nt
Filed under: Marmota monax (woodchuck)
Lineage: Eukaryota; Metazoa; Chordata; Mammalia; Rodentia; Sciuridae
Rfam family: tRNA (bases 950-1021)
Source: RNAcentral
CUACUUCAAAACUACCCCGACACCAGGCUGCUCCUCAAGCCCACUCUCCACUUAAUGGAAGGAAGUUAGGUCAUUGGGGGUGCCCUUGAGGGAGCCACUGGGAUCCCGCCCCUUCCUGUCUCUCUUUGCUUCCCAGACACCAUGAGGUAAGCCGCUUUGCUCUGCUGCACACUCCUCACCAUGAUGUUCUGCUUGGCUACAGGCUCAAAAGACAUGAGGCAAAACGGACCAUGGACUGAAACUUCUGAAAUCGUGAGCCAAAAUAAUACUUUCCUCCUUAUAAGUUGGUCUAUCUCAGGUUUUGUCACAGUGAGGGAAAGUCCUGGUCACGACUGCAGCAGUGCUCAGCUUGUGUUUUUGCCGUGUACUGCGCUGUUGGCGAUUCCUCCCCUCUAGCCUUUUGCUCAAGCUGUUCCCUUUGCCUAAAAUGCCUUCUCCGCCCACCCCACCCUCUGGCUCUCUCUCCCUUUGCCUAUUUUCUACUCACUCUUGAAAACACUGCUUAGAUAUCACCUCAAAGAAAUCUAGCCUUCUCACACUGUGAGCCUCUCCCCUUCCAUCUCAGGCCAAGGCAGUGAUCUUCCCUCUGCUCCCACCACUCUGUGAACAAAAUAGCCAUUUAUUAAAUAUAUUACUAUAACCAUCCUUACUCUUAUUACAUUUUAUUGUAAUUUGCAAUGUGUUUGUUGUCCUUCUUUAGAAUGUUAGCUCAUUCACUCUUUUUUUUUUUUUUUCAAUACUUGGAUUUGCCCAGGGGUGCCCUGUCAUUGAGCUACAUCCCCAGUUCUUUUUAUUUUUUAUUUGGAGACAGGGUCUAAGUUAUCCAGGCUGGCCUUGAAUUUGCAAUUCUCUUGCCUUAGCGUCCUGAGUAGCUAGGAUUAAAGGCCUUCUCUUAAAAGUAGCAUAUGAAAAAGUCAAAACCCAAUAGGAAAAACACAAGAAACAGAGCUAAUGUAUAGCUGAGUGGUAGAGAGCCUGCCUAGCAUGCAUGAGGCCUUGGGUUCAGUUUCAAGUACCUUAAAGUGCGCACACACACACACACAAAAGCGAUAAAGCUACACAGAUCAUAAAGUCAUAAAAAUAAUACUAAUAGCCCUUAAACAUAUGAGAUUUUCAACGAUAUUGAUAAGAGAAAUGUUGGUUACUUUGCUUCCAUUUCUUACCUAUCACAUUGGCAAAGUCAGAAAAGUUUGACAAUAUAUUCUACCGGUGAAAAUAGGCAAAUUGCCAUUCUUAGGUAUUGUGGAUAUAACUACAAAGUGGUAUAGCCAUUGGUGGGGAGUUAGCAAUACUGAGUAAAAUUAUAUAUGUCUUUCCAAUUUAUAUAUGCAAUAUCCCUCUUAGAAGUCUAUUCCAAAGAUGUCUGCAAAAAAUAUGAGACUGCAGAAAGCUAUAUUUUGUAGCACUAUUUAAAAUAACGAAAAAUUGGAAAUACCUCAAAUGAUAAUUAGUAGUGGACUGGUUAAAUAAAUUAUAGUAAAUGCAUAGAAUUAAGCAUUUUGUACAGAUGAGAGAGAAUUCUUUACAUAAUGCUACAGAGUGAUCUCCAAUGUAUUAAAAGAAAAAAAAACAAGGUAGAAAAAGUUUGUUCCACCAUUUCUUUAAGAAAAGUGAGGAUAUGAUCAUAAAUGCAUAUGUGGCUAUAUUUUUUGAAAUAUUAUAAGAAAAAGGAGAGCAAAUGGAGUUAACAAGGAUAAACACUAGAUUUCUCUAAAUAUCUUUUAUUUGAGGAUUUUACUUAUAAACAACGUAAAUAUUUUCCUUAAUUGUAAAAUUAUUUUUUAAGUUUCUAAAACAAUGAAACAGAAGAAACCCAAAUGAAUCGAAAUAUGUAUUGAGUUGGUGGAAUAUUCUUGUAGAGAAAAACUAAUUCUGGUUUCUCUCCUCUAUUUCUUUUAGCUUUUUUCUCUUUUUGCUCUCAGAAUUGCUAACCCUAAGCCUGUGAAGCUGAAGACUACACUUCCCAUUAUGGGUUACUGAUGAAAGGUUAAAGAAAUUGAAAUGUAAAAGAUAAGAUUUGUUUCAAGUUCUGUAAAGUUUUUAAGUUCUAUUAAGUUGUAUUUGGAACCUGAAAUUCAUGUGGAAGUUUAAAACAACUCCCGGAAAAAGCCACUGAAAUGUAUGUUGAAAUCUCCCCUGACCAUCUGGUUGCUCUGUAAAAACAGCCCCCUCCCCAUCCAGAAACUGUGCAGUCCUGCACAUACACACCUCAGGACUUAAGCCAAUCAGUUCAUAUGUAUACCCUUCUUUGUGCUGACCAAUCACCCCUACCCGACCUGUUCCUGCCAGUGAAUGUACUAAUCAUGGUUAAGAGUUGUUGAUUAAUUUUUCCGUGGUGUGUGAUGAUUUGUUAUGCUGUAUGUGAAGCCCCUGCCCCUUUCCAAAAAAUGUAUAUAAGCCCUGCUCAAGCUGUACUCGGGGCUCUUUGAUCUCCGCUCCUCCGAAGUGAGCUCUGAGCCCCAGCAUGCUGGACCC